RNAcentral lists this ribosomal RNA (253 nucleotides) under uncultured prokaryote. RNAcentral describes it as "partial 16S ribosomal RNA". It matches the Rfam family "Bacterial small subunit ribosomal RNA", at positions 524 to 776 of the family's 1533-position model. The record is from RNAcentral.
UACGUAGGGUGCAAGCGUUAAUCGGAAUUACUGGGCGUAAAGCGUGCGCAGGCGGUUAUGUAAGUCAGAUGUGAAAUCCCCGGGCUUAACCUGGGAAUGGCAUUUGAGACUGCAUGGCUAGAGUGUGUCAGAGGGGGGUAGAAUUCCACGUGUAGCAGUGAAAUGCGUAGAGAUGUGGAGGAAUACCGAUGGCGAAGGCAGCCCCCUGGGCCUGCACUGACGCUCAUGCACGAAAGCGUGGGGAGCAAACAGG